This is an unclassified non-coding RNA of Cebus imitator (Panamanian white-faced capuchin), 322 nucleotides long. Its record names the gene 7SK. It matches the Rfam family "7SK RNA". Rfam says of the family: 7SK was discovered as an abundant small nuclear RNA in the mid-70s but a possible function has only recently been suggested. Two independent studies have found that 7SK RNA binds the CDK9/cyclin T complex (known as elongation factor P-TEFb). P-TEFb activates transcription by phosphorylating the C-terminal domain of RNA polymerase II. Lineage: Eukaryota; Metazoa; Chordata; Mammalia; Primates; Cebidae. The record is from Ensembl.
AGAUGUGAGGGUGAUCUGGCUGCAACAUCUGCCACUCCAUUGAUCGCCAGGGUUGAUUGGGCUAGGCUGGCUGGCUAGACAGGUGUUCCCUUCUUCCCUCAUUGCUCCAUGUGCAUCCCUUUCAAAGCUGCACGACUGGUGGAGGAGGACGAACAUGCCCAAUAGAGGAGGACUGGUCUUCUGUCAAGAGUGUUCUAGCUGCACUCCCCUGCCAGAACCUCCAAACAAGUUCUCAAGAAUGGCGAUUUACUAUGUAGAUCUUAAAUUCGCUUUGCUGGAAAUUUUUGUGAGGAAUUCCAGAUUGGACUUCUAAAGCCUUUUU